This 1372-nucleotide long non-coding RNA is filed under the name Homo sapiens (human). RNAcentral describes it as "HSALNT0392291". Lineage: Eukaryota; Metazoa; Chordata; Mammalia; Primates; Hominidae. The record is from RNAcentral.
UGUGUGCCGGGCGACGCUCAGGGCGGCUGUGUGAGCAUCCGUGUCAGUGAAACUAUUCCUGCACAAGAGAACUGUGACUGGAUUCUGCCAGGGAGGAGCUGUGACCAGCAGGGCAGAGACAUGGGAGGGAAGAGCCGGCGUCACCUCCAGGCCUCCUGCGCCCGAGAGGAGGGAAGAGCCGGUGUCACCUCCAGGCCUCCUGCACCCGAGGGGAGGAAGAGCCGGCGUCACUGGCCACAGAUGAUGGGGAAGCCGGGCAUCACGGAGAGCUGAGAAGACUCGCUUGUUCACACUUACUCGAAAGCAGAAGAGGCCUGGGAACUUCAGCUGGCGACUCUGGUGUUUCUGACUUUGGCUAUCAGCAAACACUGCUGGAGGCUCUGCCCCGUCCACACCCAGCUUCUGUGAGCACGGAGGAGGCAUAAUCUGCAAAGUCUGACACAGGCCAUGCCUAACCAUCCUUGACUGGCUACCUCCAGUGACAUAAAACUGAGAAGCAAAGACACCCAGGAGGCAAGGCUGCAGUCAUUUAGGAGAGUGGACGGAUGCCAGGGCUGUGCUGCCUGCAGCCUUUGUGGGGCUCAGUGACCAGAGGAGCAGCCCAUGCCAAGCCUAGUCCCCAGGGAUGCUGCCUGCGGUGCUCACGCAUCUUAUACAGGGACACAGAGGAACUCUGGGCUCCACCCUGCAGCCUCUGCUCCAGCACGCGGUGGUCCCAGGAGAUGUAGAACCAGCCCUUCCUCUGCAGUUGCACUGGUGAGAAGGUGGCUGUCUGCAAGCCAGGAAGAGGGCCCUCACCAGAACCCAACUCAGCUGGUACCGUCUGCAGCUUCCAAACUCCAGAACUGUGAGAAAUAAAUGUGUGUUGUUAUUAAAUCGUCUUGGUGUUUUGCUAGAGAAGCCCUAGCUAAGGCACCUUCCGUUCUCCCACCUCUUCCUCCUGGGGCAAGGCCUGGGUGAGGCCCCAUAAGCCAGCGAGUGGCUUCAAGCUGGUGGCACAGCCAGUUUCAAGCCGUCUCUGGGGUACGUGGCACACACAAGAGCCGGGCUGUGUAACCUGCAGCCCACGGCUCCACAGAGGGGCUGUGCCGCCCGGGGACACUUUCUCUGCAGGUCUCUGGCUUCAACCCUCCUUGCCGCUUGUGUGCCGGGAUGCACUUUUGGGGCAGCUGGCAGCCUUUUAGCCUCAGCUCCUCUGUGGGGACAGAGCCAAGACUGAUCGCAAGGCCAAGACCUAGGAGUCCAGGGGAGGCCCUCGGCUCUGUCCUUCCUGCCGGCCCGGCUCCUGCUCAUUCCACUAACAGGCAUCUCCCUGAUGAAAUCCUCGAGAGGUUAGUCCUGUCUCGGCGGCAGCUGCUCAGAGCACCGGGCU